GUACUGAGAACCGAAGGUCGAAGGAAGAAAUUCAAUAGCGUGUCGUCGUCGGCGAUAGAUGUGCGUUUGACGGUGGACGGAACGCGCGAUCUUAAUUGAACGCGCGAGUCUCGUUGGUCGCUUUGCACGUCUCUCUCCGUCGAUCCGGCGACGAUCGCGUGCACUUUUCUUCUGGUAGGACGUCGCGAUCCGUCGGGUCGUCGAUCUAAGACGGUCUUAUGCGGAAGAGCCCGUCGGUGGAUGUGCGUUUGUUCGCGCGUCCGAACCGACGGAUCCGCCCGAUCCGAUCGACUCGCUCGACGGUAGAAGAACGGUACGGGGUCGCUGCUUGUAUUAGAGGAGCGUCGGAGCCGUGGCAAACGCGCCGUUCGUUAAAAAGAGGACGUCGAGAGGUCGCUUCACGGCGGCGUUUCGAUGUUCGCCGAUACCGGCGAUCGGAAUUGCCAUUCCGAUUGCGGUCGUUCGGUGCGUUGCGUGUGUGUGGCCGCGGAAUUAGAUCUCCGACCGUUGCCCGUCAGUUAGACCGAUCUGCGACGCUUUAGCUUUGGGUAAUUUCAGGACCCGUCUUGAAACACGGACCAAGGAGUCUAGCAUGCGCGCGAGUCAUUGGGAUAAACUAUAUGNNNNNNNGGGAAAAAAUAUAUGCGAAACCUAAAGGCGCAAUGAAAGUGAAACUCGACGCGUACGUGCAAGCGUACGCGACGGGAAGGGAAGACGAUCGGACGAUGGCGUACGCGCGAGCGCGCGCCGGUCCUUCCGCAUUCCCGGGGCGUUUCGUUCGUUUAAUCGCGACACGAGGCGCACCAAGAGCGUGCACGCUGACCCGAAAGA
This 831-nucleotide ribosomal RNA is filed under the name Chaetastus tuberculatus. RNAcentral describes it as "partial 28S large subunit ribosomal RNA". It matches the Rfam family "Eukaryotic large subunit ribosomal RNA", at positions 504 to 823 of the family's 3401-position model. Lineage: Eukaryota; Metazoa; Arthropoda; Insecta; Coleoptera; Curculionidae. The record is from RNAcentral.